Molecule: ribosomal RNA, 447 nt
Filed under: uncultured bacterium
Lineage: Bacteria
Description: bacterial SSU rRNA
Rfam family: Bacterial small subunit ribosomal RNA
Source: RNAcentral
UCGGGAAUUUUGGGCAAUGGGCGAAAGCCUGACCCAGCAACGCCGCGUGAAGGAUGAAGUAUUUCGGUAUGUAAACUUCGAAAGAAUAGGAAGAAUAAAUGACGGUACUAUUUAUAAGGUCCGGCUAACUACGUGCCAGCAGCCGCGGUAAUACGUAGGGACCAAGCGUUGUUCGGAAUUACUGGGCGUAAAGCGUACAUAGGCGGUGACUCAAGUCAGAGGUGAAAGCCUGGAGCUCAACUCCAGAACUGCCUUUGAAACUAGGUCGCUAGAAUCACGGAGAGGUGAGUGGAAUUCCGAGUGUAGAGGUGAAAUUCGUAGAUAUUCGGAAGAACACCAGUGGCGAAGGCGGCUCACUGGACGUGUAUUGACGCUGAGGUACGAAAGCGUGGGGAGCAAACAGGAUUAGAUACCCCCGUAGUCCCUGAGCGGGCUGGCAAGGCGCAU